This 1097-nucleotide ribosomal RNA is filed under the name bacterium BAB-3019. Its description in RNAcentral is "bacterial SSU rRNA". It matches the Rfam family "Bacterial small subunit ribosomal RNA", at positions 68 to 1150 of the family's 1533-position model. The record is from RNAcentral.
GGUAGCACAGAGAGCUUGCUCUCGGGUGACGAGCGGCGGACGGGUGAGUAAAUGUCUGGGAAACUGCCUGAUGGAGGGGGAUAACUACUGGAAAACGGUAGCUAAUACCGCAUAACGUCGCAAGACCAAAGUGGGGGACCCUUCGGGCCUCAUGCCAUCAGAUGUGCCCAGAUGGGAUUAGCUAGUAGGUGGGGUAACCGGCUCACCUAGGCGACGAUCCCCUAGCUGGUCUGAGAGGGAUGACCAGCCACACUGGAACUGAGACACGGUCCAGACUUCUACGGGAGGCAGCAGUGGGGAAUAUUGCACAAUGGGCGCAAGCCUGAUGCAGCCAUGCCGCGGGUGUGAAGACCCCCCUCCCCGUUGUAAAGCACUUUCAGCGGGGAGAAAAAAGAUGAGGUUAAUAACCUCGUCGAUUGACGUUACCCGCAGAAGAAGCACCGGCUAACUCCGUGCCAGCAGCCGCGGUAAUACGGAGGGUGCAAGCGUUAAUCGGAAUUACUGGGCGUAAAGCGCACGCAGGCGGUCUGUCAAGUCGGAUGUGAAAUCCCCGGGCUCAACCUGGGAACUGCAUUCGAAACUGCCAGGCCAGAGUCUUGUAGAGGGGGGUAGAAUUCCAGGUGUAGCGGUGAAAUGCGUAGAGAUCUGGAGGAAUAAAGGUGGCGAAGGCGGCUUCCUGGACAAAGAAUGACGCUCAGGUGUGAAAUCGUGGGGGGCAAACAGGAUUAGAUACCUGGUUAGUUUUCGCCCCCAUCGACCCCGAUUUGGAGGUUGUGCCCUUGAGGCGUGGCUUCCGGCGCUAACGCGUACCGUGGCCUGUAGGGAGAGCCAGGCCGAAGGGUUAAACCUCACAUGAAUUGACGGGGGCCCGCACAAGCGGUGGAGCAUGUGGUUUAAUUCGAUGCAACGCGAAGAACCUUACCUGGUCUUGACAUCCACAGAACUUUCCAGAGAUGGAUUGGUGCCUUCGGGAACUGUGAGACAGGUGCUGCAUGGCUUCGGUCAGCUCGUGUUGUGAAAUGUUGGGUUAAGUCCCGCAACGAGCGCAACCCUUAUCCUUUGUUGCCAGCGGUCCGGCCGGGAACUCAAAGGAGACU